Meriones unguiculatus (Mongolian gerbil) is the source of this 1460-nucleotide long non-coding RNA. RefSeq lists it as uncharacterized. Lineage: Eukaryota; Metazoa; Chordata; Mammalia; Rodentia; Muridae. The transcript has 4 exons. The record is from RefSeq and is a predicted model, not a curated record.
CUCACUCACUCUCACUUUCUUCUGCCUCGUCUCUCGGCGAUCCCCUAUUCCCUUCCCCUAAUAAACCUCCCACGUGGAACCGAUCUCGUAGUGUGAUUUGUGAACCUGCUGUGUAAUCUUCACAGGUGUACGUUUCCUAACAUUGGUGAAUUUUGGCCGGGAUUAGGUCCCCUCCAGUGGACACACCGAGCGGGGAAUGCCGGCACCCUGCCGGGGCUUCUGGAGACCUAUUUUUCUCCAAAUCCGCCCGAGAUCUCCACUUUCCGGCUACCAGAUUGCUACAGAGGCAUCCAACACUGGCUGGAUUGAUAAAGUUCCACCCCGCCCGCCAGCUGCACCGCCGCCGCUGCCGUUAGUCCCAGCAGCCGAUAGAGUGGAGACACAUAGUGCAAAAAUCGAAGUUUCAGAACUUGGCCAACACUAAGCCUCAUUUCAAGUUGUGUCCUGCCAGACACAGAUGUUUCCUAUAGCCACAACAGCACCAAAGCAACUACAGGUGUUCAACUCUGACCUCACACAGUUCCAACAAGCCGGACCUGCACCUUCCCUCCCAGCCAUGGGUGUUCUCACAGACCUGGGAAAGCAUCAAAGCAGUCUAUUCUUCCUGGACUUGGCCAACAUUUCAGCCUUUUGACCUCCCUACUGUGCCCCCAGUGUCAGCAGGAAGUAGCCAGAAGAGACCAUUAUUCACUUGUUAACAAAGGGCUGAAGUGGUGUGCUUCAGGACCAGGACAAGUGGCUCCAGGUUCUCCCAGUGUUCCCCAGUCCCUACCUGCUGCUGCCCUGCAUUGCUGGCAACUCUCUAUUGACAACCCUCUACCCUAAAUUUUCCAGGGCAGAGGCUUCCCUUACUCUUGACCUUGCAAUCUGACCAUUUUGUUUUGACCAUUCUUGCAUGACAACCAAGAGCUGCUUCCAAUGAGCCUAAACUUACAUACUUUAACUUACCUUAUAAAAGGCAGCCCAAGCUCCCUAUUUUUAAUUAUAGAGAAAGGGAGGAAUGUUAGUAUUUUGGAACACAAGCUGCUUCUGGGUUGCCCAGCAACCUAUCAUGUGUUGUCAGCCAGCCAGGUGACCACACCUGGAGGGCAUGGUUACCUUCCGACUUAAAGGGCCCACCCCAACACGUGGUCUCUUGCCCCCUCUCUCUCUUACUUCCCCCUUCUUUCUUUCUCUCUCUCUCUCUCUUUCCCCUCGUCUCUUUGCAACCCCCCUUCCCCUAAUAAACCUUCCAUAUGGAACCGAUCUCUUGGUGUGAUUUGUGAACCCGUUGUGUAAUCCUCACAGGCGCAUUUUUCCUAAUAUUGGCAUGUUUCCUAACAGUGAGAUCUAGUUCCCACCAAUGGGAUCAGAUAGAAUCACUAGCUAAAUCAGGCCAUUUUGGUAAGCAUAGCCUUGUUUGUACCCUUCUUGCCAAAAGAAACCUUGCUGAAUUAUUUUUGCUUUGACCAUGCAUUCUA